Molecule: long non-coding RNA, 433 nt
Filed under: Cyanistes caeruleus (blue tit)
Lineage: Eukaryota; Metazoa; Chordata; Aves; Passeriformes; Paridae
Description: lncRNA (ENSCCEG00000001944.1)
Source: RNAcentral
GGGCUUGCUUGGUGCUUCUGUUUUGGUUCCUGGAGGUUUUGAUGUUCCAUUAACACUGGCAGCACCUUUCCCUUUCUGUUCUCCCUGUGGCCCACCUGUGACAUGCCCUGGGCUCCUGUGACAUCCCCUGGGCUCCUGUGACAUCCCCUGGGCUCUGCAGCUGCCUGUGUCCCCAUCUGGACAGGCACCAGGGCCUUCAGCUCCUCCUCAUGGCCAAUUUUCCAGCCACUCCAGCUCAACCUCCAUCCCACGGAACCACGGUUACUCCUGGGUCCUGGGUGUUGUGUGGAGUGAGAAGUGGUGGUGUUGAAGAUGAUGCAUUUGUUUGAUAGUGAGAGGUGAAAACAUGUCAUAUUGGUAAUUCCCAGUCAUGGAAGUGCGGACUCCUAGCACCCCUUGGAAAAUAAACUUUGGCUGAGGGAGAAAUCUCCCA